GGUUAAGCGACUAAGCGUACACGGUGGAUGCCCUGGCAGUCAGAGGCGAUGAAGGACGUGCUAAUCUGCGAUAAGCGUCGGUAAGGUGAUAUGAACCGUUAUAACCGGCGAUUUCCGAAUGGGGAAACCCAGUGUGUUUCGACACACUAUCAUUAACUGAAUCCAUAGGUUAAUGAGGCGAACCGGGGGAACUGAAACAUCUAAGUACCCCGAGGAAAAGAAAUCAACCGAGAUUCCCCCAGUAGCGGCGAGCGAACGGGGAGCAGCCCAGAGCCUGAAUCAGUGUGUGUGUUAGUGGAAGCGUCUGGAAAGGCGCGCGAUACAGGGUGACAGCCCCGUACACAAAAAUGCACAUACUGUGAGCUCGAUGAGUAGGGCGGGACACGUGGUAUCCUGUCUGAAUAUGGGGGGACCAUCCUCCAAGGCUAAAUACUCCUGACUGACCGAUAGUGAACCAGUACCGUGAGGGAAAGGCGAAAAGAACCCCGGCGAGGGGAGUGAAAAAGAACCUGAAACCGUGUACGUACAAGCAGUGGGAGCACGCUUCGGCGUGUGACUGCGUACCUUUUGUAUAAUGGGUCAGCGACUUAUAUUCUGUAGCAAGGUUAACCGAAUAGGGGAGCCGAAGGGAAACCGAGUCUUAACUGGGCGUUAAGUUGCAGGGUAUAGACCCGAAACCCGGUGAUCUAGCCAUGGGCAGGUUGAAGGUUGGGUAACACUAACUGGAGGACCGAACCGACUAAUGUUGAAAAAUUAGCGGAUGACUUGUGGCUGGGGGUGAAAGGCCAAUCAAACCGGGAGAUAGCUGGUUCUCCCCGAAAGCUAUUUAGGUAGCGCCUCGUGAAUUCAUCUCCGGGGGUAGAGCACUGUUUCGGCAAGGGGGUCAUCCCGACUUACCAACCCGAUGCAAACUGCGAAUACCGGAGAAUGUUAUCACGGGAGACACACGGCGGGUGCUAACGUCCGUCGUGAAGAGGGAAACAACCCAGACCGCCAGCUAAGGUCCCAAAGUCAUGGUUAAGUGGGAAACGAUGUGGGAAGGCCCAGACAGCCAGGAUGUUGGCUUAGAAGCAGCCAUCAUUUAAAGAAAGCGUAAUAGCUCACUGGUCGAGUCGGCCUGCGCGGAAGAUGUAACGGGGCUAAACCAUGCACCGAAGCUGCGGCAGCGACGCUGAUGCGUUGUUGGGUAGGGGAGCGUUCUGUAAGCCUGCGAAGGUGUGCUGUGAGGCAUGCUGGAGGUAUCAGAAGUGCGAAUGCUGACAUAAGUAACGAUAAAGCGGGUGAAAAGCCCGCUCGCCGGAAGACCAAGGGUUCCUGUCCAACGUUAAUCGGGGCAGGGUGAGUCGACCCCUAAGGCGAGGCCGAAAGGCGUAGUCGAUGGGAAACAGGUUAAUAUUCCUGUACUUGGUGUUACUGCGAAGGGGGGACGGAGAAGGCUAUGUUGGCCGGGCGACGGUUGUCCCGGUUUAAGCGUGUAGGCUGGUUUUCCAGGCAAAUCCGGAAAAUCAAGGCUGAGGCGUGAUGACGAGGCACUACGGUGCUGAAGCAACAAAUGCCCUGCUUCCAGGAAAAGCCUCUAAGCAUCAGGUAACAUCAAAUCGUACCCCAAACCGACACAGGUGGUCAGGUAGAGAAUACCAAGGCGCUUGAGAGAACUCGGGUGAAGGAACUAGGCAAAAUGGUGCCGUAACUUCGGGAGAAGGCACGCUGAUAUGUAGGUGAGGUCCCUCGCGGAUGGAGCUGAAAUCAGUCGAAGAUACCAGCUGGCUGCAACUGUUUAUUAAAAACACAGCACUGUGCAAACACGAAAGUGGACGUAUACGGUGUGACGCCUGCCCGGUGCCGGAAGGUUAAUUGAUGGGGUCAGCGCAAGCGAAGCUCUUGAUCGAAGCCCCGGUAAACGGCGGCCGUAACUAUAACGGUCCUAAGGUAGCGAAAUUCCUUGUCGGGUAAGUUCCGACCUGCACGAAUGGCGUAAUGAUGGCCAGGCUGUCUCCACCCGAGACUCAGUGAAAUUGAACUCGCUGUGAAGAUGCAGUGUACCCGCGGCAAGACGGAAAGACCCCGUGAACCUUUACUAUAGCUUGACACUGAACAUUGAGCCUUGAUGUGUAGGAUAGGUGGGAGGCUUAGAAGUGUGGACGCCAGUCUGCAUGGAGCCGACCUUGAAAUACCACCCUUUAAUGUUUGAUGUUCUAACGUUGACCCGUAAUCCGGGUUGCGGACAGUGUCUGGUGGGUAGUUUGACUGGGGCGGUCUCCUCCUAAAGAGUAACGGAGGAGCACGAAGGUUGGCUAAUCCUGGUCGGACAUCAGGAGGUUAGUGCAAUGGCAUAAGCCAGCUUGACUGCGAGCGUGACGGCGCGAGCAGGUGCGAAAGCAGGUCAUAGUGAUCCGGUGGUUCUGAAUGGAAGGGCCAUCGCUCAACGGAUAAAAGGUACUCCGGGGAUAACAGGCUGAUACCGCCCAAGAGUUCAUAUCGACGGCGGUGUUUGGCACCUCGAUGUCGGCUCAUCACAUCCUGGGGCUGAAGUAGGUCCCAAGGGUAUGGCUGUUCGCCAUUUAAAGUGGUACGCGAGCUGGGUUUAGAACGUCGUGAGACAGUUCGGUCCCUAUCUGCCGUGGGCGCUGGAGAACUGAGGGGGGCUGCUCCUAGUACGAGAGGACCGGAGUGGACGCAUCACUGGUGUUCGGGUUGUCAUGCCAAUGGCACUGCCCGGUAGCUAAAUGCGGAAGAGAUAAGUGCUGAAAGCAUCUAAGCACGAAACUUGCCCCGAGAUGAGUUCUCCCUGAC
This 2793-nucleotide ribosomal RNA is filed under the name Escherichia coli. Its description in RNAcentral is "partial 23S ribosomal RNA". It matches the Rfam family "Bacterial large subunit ribosomal RNA". Lineage: Bacteria; Pseudomonadati; Pseudomonadota; Gammaproteobacteria; Enterobacterales; Enterobacteriaceae. The record is from RNAcentral.